Marmota monax (woodchuck) is the source of this 1840-nucleotide long non-coding RNA. RefSeq lists it as uncharacterized. The record is from RefSeq and is a predicted model, not a curated record. Lineage: Eukaryota; Metazoa; Chordata; Mammalia; Rodentia; Sciuridae. The transcript has 3 exons.
CUAGGAUUUGUCCACGAGUGUUAGGCCUGCUUUCAUAUUCUGAGCUGGAAGAGUUACAUGGAUGUUAAUGCCUUCCCCUGGAUGAGGUUCUCAGCUCUAACUGACCAUUACUGAAGGGAAAGUGAGGAACAAGAGACAGGAAUGGUCAUCUCAGAGGAUGGGAGAUGUCAGCCUCUGGGGUUGUCAGAAGCCCAGAGUUCAGGAGGAGGAGGGGCCCAGGAUGAUGGAUCCUCUUGGAAGUGGCUGGUUACCACAGCAAAGGGAAAGAGAGCUCUGCUGAGCAUUGCACAGAUAGUCAGAGCCUGGAAGUGACACAUGUCACUUUUGCUCACAACUCAUUGGCAGGGCUACUGGCACAUGAGCCUGCUGAUGGCCACAGAUGUACAGUCUUGUCAUGUGCCCAGAUCAGGGAGGGCUGGAAAUAUGUGGUCAGCAGCGCAGGUGGUUAUUACCCAUAAAUAAACAACUUCAGACACUCCUUCAAAGAACUACAGACCUCGGCAUCAUCGUUAUUCCAGCUACUAACAUGAAAAGGCAAAUUCAUAGGAAGCAAUAUCAUAAGAGAAUUCAGAAGUGUUUUCUUCCUCAUUUGCUUUCCUUCUUUAAAAGUCUCCUUUAAAUGGAGCAGGAGAACUAAGCCACUAAAGGCUAAUAUAUUCCAAAUUCUCUCUGGCUGGUGUUUCAGUCAACUAGCCAGCCAGCCAGCCGGCCAGCCAGUCAGCCAGCUAGCUCUUUCUAGAAUCUCAUCACCUUUUUAUUGAGUCAGCUCAUUUUCACCGAGUCAGAAAGAUGUGGAAGUCUUCCAAGGAACUUAAGAAAAACAGAAAUUUAGAUAGAGGGAGCCUGGGGAAGCUUUUCAAAAAUGGGAUAAUAAAAUAAAAUAUUUGAAUAAGCAAUAUUUCAAAAUUAUUCUUGACUCAUCAUUUUAGAGGAGUCGGGAAAGACUUCAUAGCGGAGGUGACAUUUAAGCUGGCACUUUGCUAGGUAGAAAGUGGAGCUGGGCAUUUCAAGCAGAGGGAACAGGUUGUGCAGUGGCAAGGAAACUGUUUGGGCUUGGGAUAUGUGAAGGAGAAUAAGAAAUUCACCGUGGCCAGAGGCUUGUGUGUAUAUCAGGAUUACAUAAAAUACUAACAUAGGACCAAAAAUGUUGUAUUUUUUAUGUCAGCAAGCAGGGAAUGAAAUACCCUACUUUCCAAAGAAAACUUUUAAAUUUAUCUUUAUUUAGUGGUCUAAUGGCAGUCAAGCUGACUUCAAAGAGAAAAGACCAUCUCUGAGUAACUUGCUAUGUGGAAUACAGUAGUGCCUCUUUAUCCAAGAUUUCACUCUCCAUGGUUUUAGUCAGCUGGGUCAAUGGUGGUCUGAAAAUAUUAAAUGGAAAAUUCCAGAAACAAACAAUUCAUAGGUUUUAAACUGAAUGCCUCUGUGUGAUGAAAGCCCUUUCAUUAUAGCACACCGUGCUAUAUAUUUGCUCUAUUUUAUUAUUGUUGUUGUUAAAUUCUUACUGUGCCAAACUUAUAAACUAAAUUUUAUAAUGGGUAUAGAGUUAUGGAAAAUGCAUGGAAAAUAUAGCAUUCAGGGAGGGAUCUUAGAACAUAUCUUCUACAGAUUAGAAGGGGACUGCUAUACUACAGGUAGAUGAGUUUCCAGAAAUAGAAUCUUUCUGGCUUUUAGGCAAUAGUUAAGUCAUAUAUAUUUAAAAAUAUAUCCACAGUAAUUUUCUUUGUGAAAAGCAAGUACUCUACUUGGCUACAAACAAAUUAAGGCAAAGCUCCCAGAUUAAAAACAAAUACUGGGAUCUGUGGUUGUGGCUCAGUGGUAGAGCACUUGCCUUGCAUGUGUG